GCAGAUAAAAUAUAGGAGUACAUUUCACCGAACGUGACCAACAUCGGAGCACUCUGCUGUCAAGAGUUACUCCAAAGGGAUAUGGGUAUAAGUGUCCCUCUAAUUUGAAAUCACCACGGUGACUGCAAGCAGCUCAUUGUGCUUUGGUGCUGCACAACCUAAAUUUUUAAUUUAGGAUCAGAAGGUUUUUGGGCACAGUCAAGAACUUGUGA
RNAcentral lists this long non-coding RNA (212 nucleotides) under Elaeis guineensis (African oil palm). RNAcentral's name for it is "long non-coding RNA (EGUI_LNC044673)". The record is from RNAcentral. Lineage: Eukaryota; Viridiplantae; Streptophyta; Magnoliopsida; Arecales; Arecaceae.